Molecule: unclassified non-coding RNA, 391 nt
Filed under: soil metagenome
Description: partial contains 5.8S ribosomal RNA, internal transcribed spacer 2, and large subunit ribosomal RNA
Rfam family: 5.8S ribosomal RNA (bases 1-122)
Source: RNAcentral
GAUGAAGAACGUAGCGAAAUGCGAUACUUGGUGUGAAUUGCAGAAUCCCGUGAACCAUCGAGUCUUUGAGCGCAAGUUGCGCCCGAAGCCAUUAGGCCGAGGGCACGCCUGCCUGGGCGUCACACGUCGUUGCCCCCCCAUCUACUCCUUCGGGAUUGCGGGGGGCGGAUGAUGGCCUCCCGUGCGCCUCGUCGCGCGGUUGGCAUAAAUGCCAAGUCCUCGGCGACGCACGCCACGACAAUCGGUGGUUGCGAAACCUCGGUUGCCCGUCGUGUGCGGUCGUCGCGCAUCGAGGGCUCGAAAAAAUUGCCGGGCUCCGGCUCGGCUUUCAACGCGACCCCAGGUCAGGCGGGGUUACCCGCUGAAUUUAAGCAUAUCAAUAAGCGGAGGA